This is a long non-coding RNA of Nannospalax galili (Upper Galilee mountains blind mole rat), 735 nucleotides long. RefSeq lists it as uncharacterized. The record is from RefSeq and is a predicted model, not a curated record. The transcript is spliced from 6 exons. Lineage: Eukaryota; Metazoa; Chordata; Mammalia; Rodentia; Spalacidae.
UUCAUUUCUUCCCUCACUUCUACAAGCUCUUUGGGUGGUGUAUGACAGGCAGACAGGAUGGACUCUUGCCUCAGAGGAGCCUAGUUGGAGAGGUUGAAUAAUGGUUUCAAGUUAUCAGUUGGCGUAUGAAGAACUUCGCCAAGCAGUAGAACAUACAGCAUCCAUGUCAUAACCCCUUCUAUAGUUACACUGAGGACUAUUUUCAGAGAACUCAGUAGUAAUAUUGAUUAAGACAUUGGCUACUCUUGAUAUCCAGAUCUGCAAGGACCUUCCUCGAACAUCUGCUGAGUUCGGGAUCCUGUGUAAGGGUUGGAGGAUUCAACAUCAGAUAAGAGCUUCUGCUUAAGGACUGUCUUCUGACACACAGACCAGGGACAGAUGCCACCUCCCCAGGCUUGGUUGUACCUGCUUACCUAGGAUCCUCACAGCUAAGCCUUGUUGACUGUCACACUCCAAAAGCUUGGAUGAAGACUUUCCCAGUGCAUUACACUCCUGGACUCUGGAGGUCCGGCCUGAAGAAUUUUGAAGAAAAAGAUAAGAGUAAGUCCCCACCCUUCACAGAACCUAAGGAAGAACAAAGGACUUCUCCAAACCUAGGAGUCAAUUUCUCCAAACACAGGAAUCCUCUACCCAUUGUCUUAAAAACCCCUGAGACUGUCUCCCCCUUUUGAAAGUCGGGCAUGCUUUUCAGUGAGGUGUAUAGUGUCUACCACAUUUUCCAAACCCAACCUUGAA